GAUGAACGCUGGCCGCGUGCCUAAUACAUGCAAGUAGAACGCUGAAGGAGGAGCUUGCUCUUCUGGAUGAGUUGCGAACGGGUGAGUAACGCGUAGGUAACCUGCCUGGUAGCGGGGGAUAACUAUUGGAAACGAUAGCUAAUACCGCAUGACAACAGUUAUUGCAUGAUAACUGUUUAAAAGGGGCAACUGCUCCACUACCAGAUGGACCUGCGUUGUAUUAGCUAGUUGGUGAGGUAACGGCUCACCAAGGCGACGAUACAUAGCCGACCUGAGAGGGUGAUCGGCCACACUGGGACUGAGACACGGCCCAGACUCCUACGGGAGGCAGCAGUAGGGAAUCUUCGGCAAUGGACGGAAGUCUGACCGAGCAACGCCGCGUGAGUGAAGAAGGUUUUCGGACCGUAAAGCUCUGUUGUAAGAGAAGAACGAGUGUGAGAGUGGAAAGUUCACACUGUGACGGUAUCUUACCAGAAAGGGACGGCUAACUACGUG
Molecule: ribosomal RNA, 495 nt
Filed under: uncultured bacterium
Lineage: Bacteria
Description: partial 16S ribosomal RNA
Rfam family: Bacterial small subunit ribosomal RNA
Source: RNAcentral